Molecule: long non-coding RNA, 5685 nt
Organism: Triticum dicoccoides
Lineage: Eukaryota; Viridiplantae; Streptophyta; Magnoliopsida; Poales; Poaceae
Exons: 2
Source: RefSeq, a predicted model, not a curated record
UGGAUGUCGCACUGUUGGCCAUCCCGAGGCUCCUCAAGUUGGAUAAGAUCGACCCCGAGCCCCCGGAUCAAACCCUAGCCCCGAGAUUCCCCUCUCACACUCACGCUUCUCCUAUGAACCUCGUGUCCAAGCUGUCGUCGACGCGCCGUCGCCGUCCCCGUGUCUACUGGCCUCCCCGGCGACCGGGAGUUCGUCCAGGGACUUCCUCGUCAUCGACUCCAUCAUCCCCGUGAAUCCGUUCAACCAGAGCCGCACCGUACGGAUGGAUCGAGCCGUCUUCCCCGGCACGGCCGCCGCUGUUCGUCGUCAGAUUUGUCGCCUCCCGAGCUCCCCUGACCUCCUAACCUCGUCCAUGAGCAUCACGGUGAGGCCCUCGUCCGAUUCCCCUACUUUUCCCCUCGACCCGCCGCCAUAGCCAUCACCUUGAGUUUGCCUUGGUCCGUACCGAAGCCAUGGCCGCGCUCAUCACGAGCUCCCACCCCCCCGACCGUGCCUCGCCACUGGACGUGGCCAAGCCACGCUAGUCCGUGCCCCGCCGUGCGCGUCGCUCCCUAGCGGUGCCCAGGUGCGCCAUCGCAGCCGCCCUCGGCCCUGCAGUUGCUCUGCUACUGCUGUCGUGAACGUGUUGCUCCUGCCGCCUGCUCUUGCCCAUGGCCACGCCCGCUUGCUCCUCGCGCGCGGACGUCUGCCCGGGUCGUGUCCCCUGCCCUGCUAGCUACUGCACUGCUCUUUGUGCUGCUGUCGCCGCCGACUGCGGCCUUGCUUCCUACCGCGCUGCUGAGCUGCUCCAAACGCUGCUGCUGCCUCAUACUGCUAUCACUGAUUGCUACUGGUGCUUGCUGAGCCACUAUGCACUCCCAUUCAUGCAUGCCCAGCCAUGCAUCGCUGGCUACCUACUGCCGGACGGGGCUUGCCUGCUCUCGUCGCCUGCUCCCAUCCCUGCUCCCCUUCGCUAAUUCUUCAUCUAACGGCUGGCGCUAUUUUCCGUCCCCAUGCGUCUUUUCUGGCAAAAAAGAAAUCACGAAGCUCCUGUAUUUCCGUUUGCCCGAAUACGUAUUCGCUCCUCUAUCUCUUUCCCUGCCGACAGUCGACCGUGGGGAGUGGAGGCAUCGAGUGGAUCGGUUACCUCCCCAAGGCGUCGUUGCGGCUUCCGGCGGGAGGUCCGUCGGCGUCCACUGCCUUGUCUCACCGUAGUCCACAGUCAUGGCGCUGUGCUCGUCCCAGAUUUCGGCUUCUCCCGCCGCAAGACCGGCUCCCGCUCUUGAUUCGUCCUCGUGCAAGGGCUAGGUCUUGGAGUUGCCUGUGAUGCGGGCAGCCAUGGUGGAGCUCGGGUCGGGAUAGUGGAGGUGGUGGUGGCUGUUGUGCCUCCACUGAAGACCACGGGCGAUGGCAGGGCAGAGGCCGUGGCGAACGACGAGGGCGGCCACCAUCCAGCGGGUCUUCGUGGGCCCGACACCGGCCAUGCGGCUGCCGACCUAGCCUACUAGCGCCAUGGAUGAUGCCAGAAAGACGGUUCAACUAAGUGAACAAACUACUCCUUAGAUCGAUGCAUGCAAAGUCAUUGGUUUGGCUCAUCCUCAUCCAGGUGACAAUGGUGCUCCAUUACCAUAGUGAUCGACUAAUGGUCUGUUUGUCAGGUUAGACAAACUAAUCUAUGAUGUUGGUAAUAGUACAGUUUGUACCUGAUGCUAACCAAGCCUAUUAAUACAAGACAGAUAAGACUAUUUUUAUAUUUAUCACAUUCACAAAUUGCUUAUUCAGUCAAUUGCUGAUUGAUAUAGGUAGUCUCCUUCAAUCCAUGGUCGUAUACUCAUAGGUUCUAAUAGAAUUGCACAGAAGUACAUGAAAUAAAAAUCUAUAACAUUGAUUAAGCUGGCUUUUGUUGUUGGGAGAAUUGUAGAUUUUGUCUUGGGAUCAUCGUCGGGGUUGAGGUACCAACGAUAGGAUUUUGUUGCUGGAGAAAUGACAGAUUCUGUCCAGGCAUCAUCAUAGGGGUAGAAGUACCACUGGUAGGAGUCUGCUGUUGAAAGAAUGAUAGAUUCUGUCCGGGCAUCAUCAUAGGGGUAGAAGUACCACUGGUAGGAGUCUGCUGUUGAAAGAAUGAUAGAUUCUGUCCGGGCAUCAUCGUAGGGGUAGAAGUACCACUGGUAGGAGUCUGCUGUUGGAAGAAUGGUAGAUUCUGUCCUGCCAUUAUCAUAGGGGUAGAAGUACCACUGGUAGGAGUCUGUUGUUGGAAGAAUAAUAUAUUUUGUCCUGGCAUCAUUGUAGGGGUCGACAGACCAAUGGAUUGUUGCAGACUUGAGUUGUAAUGUGCUAAAUAGGGGUAAGCAUGACUUAGCGGAGCUCCCAGUUGAACCUAUGCAGAUAAAUAGCAAAGCUUAGGUCACAGGUGAUUGAUAAUGAGAAAUAGUUUAAUAAUUAAACUUCUUAUACCAUUUGGGUUGGAUUGUACUGUGGUAAAUACACAGGCAUUUGGUUUGUCAAAGGCAUUUCAGGUCCUUCUUGUAAAGAAUUGACUGUCUUCUUUUUCUUCUUUGUUCUUGCUUUCUCUAAGCAUCAGCAGGUCUUGCUGAUCCUGGUACAAUAUUUUCUCUGAAUUGACCCUAUGAAGAUUAACAGCAAAACUUAGUGUGGUUCAAGUUUAAAAAGGAGAUAAAGUCAAAAAGCUUCGACUUCUUAUACCAUUAAGAUUGGGUUAUAUGUAGGCAUUUGAUUUGUGAAGGCAUUUCAGGUUGUAGUUGUAAAGAAUCAUCUAUCUUCUUUUUCUUCGUUGUUUUUGCUUUCUCCAAGCCACCAACGGGUCUCGCUGAUCCUCGUACAGUCUUCUCUUUGACCUUCAUACCUCUUGGCAUGUGAAGCCCCUCGUUAUGCUUUGAAACUCUAGUAGAGUCGAUGUUCAGACCUGCAACCAUAUAGUUAAAUGUAAGUCUUUGAAUAUACCCUAUGCAACUAGUAGUAAUAGUAUAUAACUAUAUACCUUGCGAAACAGAGGAGUCACCCAAAUCUGGAUUUAGGUCUGGAUCAACUCUAAUUUUCAAGCUUUGCUCCACAUCUUGUGCUAGCUGCUCUGCACAUUUAGCAGCCAUAUCAUAUGUUUCAUCGGACUCUGCGGCGCGAGCAGCUAUGUGGAUAAACAUUCUACACAAGUCCUUAUAAAAGUUCGACAUUCUUGCUUUUAGACCUUCAUGCAGAUUGCGAUUGCUUGUUAUCUCUAGCACUUUCACAUCAAUUGUCCAUCUUUUCAGUAUAUAUUUUUCAGGGAUAUGCUUGAUAUUAUUAAUAUCAAGUAUCUUUAAGCAAUGAGAGCAGAGGAUUCCAGCAAAUUCAAACUUCUUGCAACUGCAAUUGACCUUUUCUUCAUUUGGAUAAAAACUGACAACAUGCUCGCGCUGUGUUCCAUGAAAUUUUACUGUGUUAACCUUCUUCUCUUUAUCACUUGAAUCACAAAGAAAUGUGUCAUAGUUCAGGAUCCGAAGCACUUGCUCCUAAAACAUCUUGAAUAUUGCGGGAGUAUAUGUAGUUGCGGCUUGCCUUAACUUAUAGCUACCUUCCGCCUUCAACUUGGGAGUAGUUUGUGACGCCUUUAAGUCACACUUCACCUCUACAAAUCUUUUAUCCGCAACUAGACGCUCAAAAUGCUCAAAAAAUGUAAGCAUGUCAUAUUUAAUACUAAUGUACCGCUUUAGUUCAUUAUUCAUGCUUUCACUUCUUUGGGUAGUGCUCAUGUGGGCUGAGGAUGUAUUUCUGCCAUACACUAGUGCCCAUUGCUCCCUUUUCUCAAACAGCCUUUGCAACCACAUAUUGUCACGGAGUCCAUACCUGUCUAGCAUUCUAUUCCAUUCAUUUAUAAAAUUGUCUUCUUCCUCAAUAUCAUAGAUACAAUGCUGCAAAUCGGCAUUGAACUUCUUAUAUUCUUCAACAACCCCAGCAAGGUGCUUGCAAGCAUUUUGAUUCAUAUGCCACACACAAAGUCUAUGGUGAGAUUGAGGAAGGACUUUACUGAUUGCCUUGGCCAUUGCUGCAUCUUCAUCGGUCAGAAUAGUCCUUGGAUGUUUCCCAGACAUAGCUGUUAGAAAUGUUCUAAAAAGCCAACCAAAACUUUCAGCAGUUUCAUCAUAGAGAAGUGUAGCACCAAAGACCAUGGUUUUCUUGUGAUUAUUCACCCCAACAAUCAAACCAAAGGGGCGCCCAUCAUCUAGUUUCCUAUAUGUGGUGUCAAAGCAUAUAACAUCACCAAACAUUGCAUAGUCUGAUAUCAUUUUCGAAUCAGCCCAGAAAAUAUUAGUUAUCAGAUCAUCCUCAUCAACUUGAAUUGAAUAGAAAAAAUUGGCAUCUUCUUUUACCUUCUUCUCCAUGUAUUCUAACACCCCCCUGUGUCUCCUUUCUUUGCUUGCAGUGUUCUCUUAGAGUACAAACAAUUUUCCAUAUCUUCGGGUGCAAACCCAAGAUUUGGAAGUCCACAUGCUUCUUUGGCCAUAAGAUCUAUAGUUGCUUUAUUUGAAAUGCCCACAGACUUUGCGACUUCAGCGUUUGCUAUUUGUGCUUCUGUGACUUUCCUUUGGGAUCUUAAGUAUAGGGCCAUGUCUCCAGUAGCAAGAGGAUGGUUAUGUGCUGCCUUAAAUUCGUACACAAAAUAUAAUCCAUUUUGAGACUUAUCUUCAUAUGGGCUUGACAACCACAUCGUGUUUCGGGCCUACUAUAACUGAAUGAAUCCUCUCUGCUAUCUUCAGCACGGAAUCCUGUCAAUUAAAGUAAUUAUCUUAGUGAAACCAAAAGUAAUAGUAGUAUAACCAAAACAAAAAUACAAACAACCCAUACCUUGACGGGAGCACGUAAAUGUUCGUUGUUGUAUUACAGUAGUAUUCUUCACUUUAUGGUGACUCCCUCUUCGGAUGCUAAAACCAGUAGCUUUUGCAUAUUUGUUAUAAAAUGAGUAGGCCUCCUCCUCCGAUAAAAAUGUCAUGUCAAUCUUUGGUAACCUGUUGUCAGUACAAUUUGUUGCAACAUUUUCUUGCACAUCCUGUAUGAAUUAGUAUUCAAUUUUGUUAAUGCACAUUUUCACAUAUGUUGUAUUGUGCUUACCAUGCGUAAUUUGACAGGAUUUAUGAAACACAGAUUAAAAAGAGAUUACCCAUGUCAUAAAUUAGAAUAUGCUGACUAGAGUAUUAACUGAGUAUUAAGCAUCUAUUUUGACAUGUGCAGUUUCUUCAUGUACCAGGCAUAAGGCUAGUAUAAUUAUAACCGAUCCAUAAGCUGUAUCAUCCUAUACGAAGCAAACACAGAUGUUUUAUGAUCAUGAUCGACAUUUUCAAUUUUGUUUUCAUUUGGAAGAAUUAACAAUCUACAAUCGUGAAGGCAUUUUUGAUGUUUAUCAGCACGGAAAAUUAAUCAGUACAUUCUACAAGGAAAAGAACAACGAAAAGAGAUCUUGAAGGCUAUACUUUUGGUCCCUGAGAUUCAUCACCGUCCUCAUGGAUUCGAGGAACGAUGCUUGAAGAAGCCAUGGAGAACAAGAUGCCCCUUUCCUUCAGCCCCUAGGUCGCCUUGCUUCUGCCCGAUUGAUGCACCUUAGCCUUGUGAAUUUCCUUCUUCUGCCUGAUAUUGAAUUUGUUUGACGUGCUUCUGCCAAGGAUCUUGUUCCUGAUUGAUGUGGGCGAUGGUGAGAUUUGCGUGUUUGUGUGUUUU